Molecule: ribosomal RNA, 274 nt
Filed under: uncultured bacterium
Lineage: Bacteria
Description: partial 16S ribosomal RNA
Rfam family: Bacterial small subunit ribosomal RNA
Source: RNAcentral
AUACGGAGGGUGCAAGCGUUAUUCGGAAUCACUGCGCGUAAAGGACGCGUAGGCGGGUUGGCAAGUCAGAUGUGGAAUCCUACAGCUUAACUGUAGAACUGCUUUUGAAACUGCUAACCUAGAGUAUGGGAGGGGGAGAUGGAAUUAGUGGUGUAGGGGUAAAAUCCGUAGAUAUCGCUAGGAAUACCGAAAGCGAAGGCGAUCUCCUGGAACAUAACUGACGCUGAGGCGUGAAAGCGUGGGGAGCAAACAGGAUUAGAUACCCUAGUAGUCC